GGUUGUGGCUCAGUGGUAGAGCACUUGCCUUACAUAUAUGAGGCUCUGGGUUCGAUUCUCAGCACUA
Molecule: transfer RNA, 67 nt
Filed under: Marmota monax (woodchuck)
Lineage: Eukaryota; Metazoa; Chordata; Mammalia; Rodentia; Sciuridae
Description: tRNA.Val
Rfam family: tRNA
About the family: Transfer RNA (tRNA) molecules are approximately 80 nucleotides in length.
Source: RNAcentral